AACGAACGCUGGCGGCAGGCCUAACACAUGCAAGUCGAGCGCGCCCUUCGGGGUGAGCGGCGGACGGGUGAGUAACGCGUGGGAACGUGCCCUUUUCUACGGAAUAGCCUCGGGAAACUGAGAGUAAUACCGUAUACGCCCUUUGGGGGAAAGAUUUAUCGGAAAAGGAUCGGCCCGCGUUGGAUUAGGUAGUUGGUGGGGUAAUGGCCUACCAAGCCGACGAUCCAUAGCUGGUUUGAGAGGAUGAUCAGCCACACUGGGACUGAGACACGGCCCAGACCCGGAGGGAGGGGAGCGGUGGGGAAUCUAAGACAAGGGGGCAAGCUCUAACAGACCCGUGCGGGGGGAGUGAGGAGGCCGUUAGGGUAGAAAAGUCCUUUGGGAGGGAAAGAUAAGGACGGUACCAGAAAAAGAAGCCCGGGCUACCUCCGUG
RNAcentral lists this ribosomal RNA (433 nucleotides) under uncultured bacterium. RNAcentral's name for it is "partial 16S ribosomal RNA". It matches the Rfam family "Bacterial small subunit ribosomal RNA", at positions 29 to 507 of the family's 1533-position model. The record is from RNAcentral.